Molecule: unclassified non-coding RNA, 601 nt
Filed under: Hevea brasiliensis (rubber tree)
Lineage: Eukaryota; Viridiplantae; Streptophyta; Magnoliopsida; Malpighiales; Euphorbiaceae
Source: RNAcentral
GAAUAAUCAAGACAAACUUGAAAACCAAGUAGGAUCGAGUUUUGUAUCUUAAAUCUGCAAAAGAAUACAACUAUUUUUCCGAAUCAGCCAAUCAUAAAAAUAGCAAGAAAAGUCAUUGCUACCAAAAAGAUUCUAGUUAGUGGCAAGAUUCUAGUUAGUGGUCCUACUCAACUUGUAACAUCCAUGUCUCUUUUUCUGAAAAUUAAUAUAACUUAAAAGCUUUUAGAUUUAACUGCAGGAGGUAAGACUAGUCGAAAAUGGUUCGCUCGGCUUUAGGUGGUCAAUUGUCGACCGUCUCGUCUCAUCUUCCAUUGAGAUCACUUUAAAUCAUCAUUCAAAGUUCUCUCUCUCUCUCUCUUAUUAUUAUUUUUUCUACAUCUUUGUGCCCACAAAAUGGAUGUGCACCAGUUCUAAAUGACACCAACUGAAUAGUGAUUUAGCAUUUUUUUUCCCCGAAAUUUUGGCCGUAGAGCUGUUAUUUCUUCUAUGGGGCUUGGCUUGUAGUUAGUGGUACAGCUUUCUUCCAACUUUUCUAUGUGAACCAAAUAGUUUAAUUUUUAAUGAUAUGAUCUCAGGGAUAAUGCAUAAGCAUCUUCUUUCA